UUGGCUCAGAUGGUAAAGCAUCUGCCUACAAUGCAGGACACCUGGGUUCAAUCCCUAGA
RNAcentral lists this transfer RNA (59 nucleotides) under Capra hircus (goat). It matches the Rfam family "tRNA", at positions 7 to 64 of the family's 71-position model. From Rfam's summary of the family: Transfer RNA (tRNA) molecules are approximately 80 nucleotides in length. Their secondary structure includes four short double-helical elements and three loops (D, anti-codon, and T loops). Further hydrogen bonds mediate the characteristic L-shaped molecular structure. tRNAs have two regions of fundamental functional importance: the anti-codon, which is responsible for specific mRNA codon recognition, and the 3' end, to which the tRNAs corresponding amino acid is attached (by aminoacyl-tRNA synthetases). tRNAs cope with the degeneracy of the genetic code in two manners: having more than one tRNA (with a specific anti-codon) for a particular amino acid; and 'wobble' base-pairing, i.e. permitting non-standard base-pairing at the 3rd anti-codon position. Lineage: Eukaryota; Metazoa; Chordata; Mammalia; Artiodactyla; Bovidae. RNAcentral also lists the same sequence under 1 other name. The record is from Rfam by way of RNAcentral.